Molecule: ribosomal RNA, 497 nt
Filed under: uncultured bacterium
Lineage: Bacteria
Description: partial 16S ribosomal RNA
Rfam family: Bacterial small subunit ribosomal RNA
Source: RNAcentral
GAUGAACGCUGGCGGCGUGCCUAAUACAUGCAAGUCGAGCGAACAGACGAGGAGCUUGCUCCUCUGACGUUAGCGGCGGACGGGUGAGUAACACGUGGAUAACCUACCUAUAAGACUGGGAUAACUUCGGGAAACCGGAGCUAAUACCGGAUAAUAUAUUGAACCGCAUGGUUCAAUAGUGAAAGACGGUUUUGCUGUCACUUAUAGAUGGAUCCGCGCCGCAUUAGCUAGUUGGUAAGGUAACGGCUUACCAAGGCGACGAUGCGUAGCCGACCUGAGAGGGUGAUCGGCCACCCUGGAACUGAGACACGGUCCAGACUCCUACGGGAGGCAGCAGUAGGGAAUCUUCCGCAAUGGGCGAAAGCCUGACGGAGCAACGCCGCGUGAGCGAUGAAGGUCUUCGGAUCGUAAAACUCUGUUAUUAGGGAAGAACAAAUGUGUAAGUAACUAUGCACGUCUUGACGGUACCUAAUCAGAAAGCCACGGCUAACUACGUG